Molecule: ribosomal RNA, 419 nt
Filed under: Pseudomonas sp. enrichment culture clone TTGE_FP_93
Lineage: Bacteria; Pseudomonadati; Pseudomonadota; Gammaproteobacteria; Pseudomonadales; Pseudomonadaceae
Description: bacterial SSU rRNA
Rfam family: Bacterial small subunit ribosomal RNA
Source: RNAcentral
UGCGUUCUUGACAUCCUGCGAACUUGGUAGAGAUACCUUGGUGCCUUCGGGAGCGCAGUGACAGGUGCUGCAUGGCCGUCGUCAGCUCGUGUCGUGAGAUGUUGGGUUAAGUCCCGUAACGAGCGCAACCCUUGUCCUUAGUUGCCAGCGGUCCGGCCGGGAACUCUAGGGAGACUGCCGGUGACAAACCGGAGGAAGGUGGGGAUGACGUCAGGUCAUCAUGGCCCUUACGGCCAGGGCUACACACGUGCUACAAUGGGGCGCACAGAGGGCAGCAAGCGCGCGAGUGCAAGCGAAUCCCUUAAAACGCCUCGUAGUCCGGAUCGGAGUCUGCAACUCGACUCCGUGAAGUCGGAAUCGCUAGUAAUCGCAGAUCAGAAUGCUGCGGUGAAUACGUUCCCGGGUCUUGUACACACCGA